RNAcentral lists this ribosomal RNA (381 nucleotides) under uncultured eukaryote. RNAcentral's name for it is "partial 18S ribosomal RNA". It matches the Rfam family "Eukaryotic small subunit ribosomal RNA", at positions 592 to 976 of the family's 1831-position model. The record is from RNAcentral.
CAAUAGCGUAUAUUAAAGUUGUUGCGGUAAAAAAGCUCGUAGUUGGAUUUCUACCGAAGAUAGCCGGUCGGGUCUUCGACCUUGUAUCUGGUUUUGUCUUUGGUAUCCUCAUAGGGAACGUUUCUGCGCUUUAUUGCGUGGUGCGGUAUCUAUGACUUUUACUUUGAGGAAAUUAGAGUGUUCACGGCAGGCAAACGCCUUGAAUAUAUUAGCAUGGAAUAAUAACAUAGGAUCUUCGUCCUAUUUUGUUGGUUUCUAGGGCUAAGAUAAUGAUUAAUAGGGAUAAUUGGGGGCAUCUGUAUCAACGCGUCAGAGGUGGAAUUCUUGGAUUGCGUUGCGACAAACUACUGCGUAAGCAUUUGCCAAGGAUGUUUUCAUUGA